CCCUUAGAUGUUCUGGGCUGCACGCGCGCUACACUGAAGCGUUCAACGAGUAUUCACCUUGCCCGGGAGGGUUGGGUAAUCUUUUGAAAACGCUUCGUGAUGGGGAUAGAUUAUUGCAAUUAUUAAUCUUCAACGAGGAAUUCCUAGUAAGCGCGAGUCAACAGCUUGCGUUGAUUACGUCCCUGCCCUUUGUACACACCGCCCGUCGCUACUACUGAUUGGAUGUUUAAGCGAGGUUCUCGAACUGCUAGCGACUUAGCUUCGGUGAGGUCGCAGUGUGGGAAGUGAACCUAGCUUUGGUGUCUAGAGGAAGUAAAAGUCGUAACA
RNAcentral lists this ribosomal RNA (327 nucleotides) under uncultured eukaryote. Its description in RNAcentral is "partial 18S ribosomal RNA". It matches the Rfam family "Eukaryotic small subunit ribosomal RNA", at positions 1470 to 1796 of the family's 1831-position model. The record is from RNAcentral.